GAUAGGGUGGCUGAUAAAAGUAAUAGACUGUAAAUCUAUAAAUGGGGUUUCCCCCUCCUAUUA
RNAcentral lists this transfer RNA (63 nucleotides) under Mirhipipteryx andensis. RNAcentral describes it as "tRNA-Tyr". It matches the Rfam family "tRNA". Rfam says of the family: Transfer RNA (tRNA) molecules are approximately 80 nucleotides in length. Their secondary structure includes four short double-helical elements and three loops (D, anti-codon, and T loops). Further hydrogen bonds mediate the characteristic L-shaped molecular structure. tRNAs have two regions of fundamental functional importance: the anti-codon, which is responsible for specific mRNA codon recognition, and the 3' end, to which the tRNAs corresponding amino acid is attached (by aminoacyl-tRNA synthetases). tRNAs cope with the degeneracy of the genetic code in two manners: having more than one tRNA (with a specific anti-codon) for a particular amino acid; and 'wobble' base-pairing, i.e. permitting non-standard base-pairing at the 3rd anti-codon position. Lineage: Eukaryota; Metazoa; Arthropoda; Insecta; Orthoptera; Ripipterygidae. The record is from RNAcentral.